Molecule: ribosomal RNA, 2902 nt
Filed under: Escherichia coli
Lineage: Bacteria; Pseudomonadati; Pseudomonadota; Gammaproteobacteria; Enterobacterales; Enterobacteriaceae
Description: bacterial LSU rRNA
Rfam family: Bacterial large subunit ribosomal RNA
Source: RNAcentral
UUAAGCGACUAAGCGUACACGGUGGAUGCCCUGGCAGUCAGAGGCGAUGAAGGACGUGCUAAUCUGCGAUAAGCGUCGGUAAGGUGAUAUGAACCGUUAUAACCGGCGAUUUCCGAAUGGGGAAACCCAGUGUGUUUCGACACACUAUCAUUAACUGAAUCCAUAGGUUAAUGAGGCGAACCGGGGGAACUGAAACAUCUAAGUACCCCGAGGAAAAGAAAUCAACCGAGAUUCCCCCAGUAGCGGCGAGCGAACGGGGAGCAGCCCAGAGCCUGAAUCAGUGUGUGUGUUAGUGGAAGCGUCUGGAAAGGCGCGCGAUACAGGGUGACAGCCCCGUACACAAAAAUGCACAUGCUGUGAGCUCGAUGAGUAGGGCGGGACACGUGGUAUCCUGUCUGAAUAUGGGGGGACCAUCCUCCAAGGCUAAAUACUCCUGACUGACCGAUAGUGAACCAGUACCGUGAGGGAAAGGCGAAAAGAACCCCGGCGAGGGGAGUGAAAAAGAACCUGAAACCGUGUACGUACAAGCAGUGGGAGCCUCUUUUAUGGGGUGACUGCGUACCUUUUGUAUAAUGGGUCAGCGACUUAUAUUCUGUAGCAAGGUUAACCGAAUAGGGGAGCCGAAGGGAAACCGAGUCUUAACUGGGCGUUAAGUUGCAGGGUAUAGACCCGAAACCCGGUGAUCUAGCCAUGGGCAGGUUGAAGGUUGGGUAACACUAACUGGAGGACCGAACCGACUAAUGUUGAAAAAUUAGCGGAUGACUUGUGGCUGGGGGUGAAAGGCCAAUCAAACCGGGAGAUAGCUGGUUCUCCCCGAAAGCUAUUUAGGUAGCGCCUCGUGAAUUCAUCUCCGGGGGUAGAGCACUGUUUCGGCAAGGGGUCAUCCCGACUUACCAACCCGAUGCAAACUGCGAAUACCGGAGAAUGUUAUCACGGGAGACACACGGCGGGUGCUAACGUCCGUCGUGAAGAGGGAAACAACCCAGACCGCCAGCUAAGGUCCCAAAGUCAUGGUUAAGUGGGAAACGAUGUGGGAAGGCCCAGACAGCCAGGAUGUUGGCUUAGAAGCAGCCAUCAUUUAAAGAAAGCGUAAUAGCUCACUGGUCGAGUCGGCCUGCGCGGAAGAUGUAACGGGGCUAAACCAUGCACCGAAGCUGCGGCAGCGACGCUGAUGCGUUGUUGGGUAGGGGAGCGUUCUGUAAGCCUGUGAAGGUGUGCUGUGAGGCAUGCUGGAGGUAUCAGAAGUGCGAAUGCUGACAUAAGUAACGAUAAAGCGGGUGAAAAGCCCGCUCGCCGGAAGACCAAGGGUUCCUGUCCAACGUUAAUCGGGGCAGGGUGAGUCGACCCCUAAGGCGAGGCCGAAAGGCGUAGUCGAUGGGAAACAGGUUAAUAUUCCUGUACUUGGUGUUACUGCGAAGGGGGGACGGAGAAGGCUAUGUUGGCCGGGCGACGGUUGUCCCGGUUUAAGCGUGUAGGCUGGUUUUCCAGGCAAAUCCGGAAAAUCAAGGCUGAGGCGUGAUGACGAGGCACUACGGUGCUGAAGCAACAAAUGCCCUGCUUCCAGGAAAAGCCUCUAAGCAUCAGGUAACAUCAAAUCGUACCCCAAACCGACACAGGUGGUCAGGUAGAGAAUACCAAGGCGCUUGAGAGAACUCGGGUGAAGGAACUAGGCAAAAUGGUGCCGUAACUUCGGGAGAAGGCACGCUGAUAUGUAGGUGAAGUCCCUUGCGGAUGGAGCUGAAAUCAGUCGAAGAUACCAGCUGGCUGCAACUGUUUAUUAAAAACACAGCACUGUGCAAACACGAAAGUGGACGUAUACGGUGUGACGCCUGCCCGGUGCCGGAAGGUUAAUUGAUGGGGUCAGCGCAAGCGAAGCUCUUGAUCGAAGCCCCGGUAAACGGCGGCCGUAACUAUAACGGUCCUAAGGUAGCGAAAUUCCUUGUCGGGUAAGUUCCGACCUGCACGAAUGGCGUAAUGAUGGCCAGGCUGUCUCCACCCGAGACUCAGUGAAAUUGAACUCGCUGUGAAGAUGCAGUGUACCCGCGGCAAGACGGAAAGACCCCGUGAACCUUUACUAUAGCUUGACACUGAACAUUGAGCCUUGAUGUGUAGGAUAGGUGGGAGGCUUUGAAGUGUGGACGCCAGUCUGCAUGGAGCCGACCUUGAAAUACCACCCUUUAAUGUUUGAUGUUCUAACGUUGACCCGUAAUCCGGGUUGCGGACAGUGUCUGGUGGGUAGUUUGACUGGGGCGGUCUCCUCCUAAAGAGUAACGGAGGAGCACGAAGGUUGGCUAAUCCUGGUCGGACAUCAGGAGGUUAGUGCAAUGGCAUAAGCCAGCUUGACUGCGAGCGUGACGGCGCGAGCAGGUGCGAAAGCAGGUCAUAGUGAUCCGGUGGUUCUGAAUGGAAGGGCCAUCGCUCAACGGAUAAAAGGUACUCCGGGGAUAACAGGCUGAUACCGCCCAAGAGUUCAUAUCGACGGCGGUGUUUGGCACCUCGAUGUCGGCUCAUCACAUCCUGGGGCUGAAGUAGGUCCCAAGGGUAUGGCUGUUCGCCAUUUAAAGUGGUACGCGAGCUGGGUUUAGAACGUCGUGAGACAGUUCGGUCCCUAUCUGCCGUGGGCGCUGGAGAACUGAGGGGGGGCUGCUCCUAGUACGAGAGGACCGGAGUGGACGCAUCACUGGUGUUCGGGUUGUCAUGCCAAUGGCACUGCCCGGUAGCUAAAUGCGGAAGAGAUAAGUGCUGAAAGCAUCUAAGCACGAAACUUGCCCCGAGAUGAGUUCUCCCUGACCCUUUAAGGGUCCUGAAGGAACGUUGAAGACGACGACGUUGAUAGGCCGGGUGUGUAAGCGCAGCGAUGCGUUGAGCUAACCGGUACUAAUGAACCGUGAGGCUUAACCUU